CCUACGGGGCGCAGCAGUGGGGAAUAUUGCACAAUGGGGGAAACCCUGAUGCAGCGACGCCGCGUGAGUGAAGAAGUAAUUCGUUACGUAAAGCUCUAUCAGCAGGGAAGAGAAUGGCGGUACCUGAGUAAGAAGCCCCGGCUAACUACGUGCCAGCAGCCGCGGUAAUACGUAGGGGGCAAGCGUUAUCCGGAUUUACUGGGUGUAAAGGGAGCGUAGACGGCAGAGAAAGUCUGAAGUGAAAGCCCGCGG
This 252-nucleotide ribosomal RNA is filed under the name uncultured bacterium. Its description in RNAcentral is "partial 16S ribosomal RNA". It matches the Rfam family "Bacterial small subunit ribosomal RNA", at positions 338 to 607 of the family's 1533-position model. The record is from RNAcentral.